RNAcentral lists this ribosomal RNA (440 nucleotides) under uncultured bacterium. Its description in RNAcentral is "bacterial SSU rRNA". It matches the Rfam family "Bacterial small subunit ribosomal RNA", at positions 340 to 773 of the family's 1533-position model. The record is from RNAcentral.
UACGGAAGGCAGCAGUGGGGAAUAUUGCACAAUGGGCGCAAGCCUGAUGCAGCCAGUGCCGCGUGUAUGAAGAAGGCCUUCGGGUUGUAAAGUACUUUCAGUCGUGAGGAAGGUGUUAAGGUUAAUAACCUUAGCAAUUGACGUUAGCGACAGAAGAAGCACCGGCUAACUCCGUGCCAGCAGCCGCGGUAAUACGGAGGGUGCGAGCGUUAAUCGGAAUUACUGGGCGUAAAGGGCACGCAGGCGGUUAAUUAAGUUGGAUGUGAAAUCCCCGGGCUUAACCUGGGAAUGGCAUUCAAGACUGGUUAGCUAGAGUCUUGUAGAGGGGGUAGAAUUCCAUGUGUAGCGGUGAAAUGCGUAGAGAUGUGGAGGAAUACCGGUGGCGAAGGCGGCCCCUGGACAAAGACUGACGCUCAUGUGCGAAAGCGUGGGGAGCAAAC